CGCCCGAUUGCCGCACGUUGCGCACCAGCUUCCGUUCCGACAGCUCUCGGGGGCCGCGGUAGCCCACGAAGGGUUGGUGGCUUACCACCUUGGUCAGCAGCAGCCCCGGCUCCCCUGGGGGUAGGAGCAGGAACAAGAACCCCUGGAGCCCACCAGCAAAUCCCCUGCUGGAGGUUUUCAACAACGGUGGACUCUUCAUCAUCCAGCGCCCUGCCAAGGACAGACCCAAAGAGAGACAGGGAGAUCCACAGAUUCAGAGACAGAGACCCUGAGAGACGGCGACGGGCGACACAGAAAAGGAGAAGUCUAGGUCAGGCGGUAUCAGGGAGCCCAUGAGAAACAGGGAAAGGAUGACAAGGGGUGGAGACGGACAGACAAAUGGCAGUGAGAAUACACAUGACCAGGACCUUGCAAGGCCCUGGGAGAAGACACAACAAGGUACAGGACAAGAGACCAAUGGCUGGAAUGCCGUCUUCCACAGAAAGCUCAAGAGAACAAAUCAGAGGGACACCCAGAGACCCAGUAAAUCAGAGCGAGAGAUCAAGGCAGGGGAGCUGGGCAGAGCGGAGAAGCUGAGGCAGAGGCCCCAGAUGGUGGUAAGACAGGCCACUGGCUCAGGGUCCAGAUGAAGGCUGCAUACCCCUUUAGUGAGCACCAGUGUUAAGGUUUUGGGCAGCUCGUUCCAGCCAAAGAGAAGACUGAGGGUCGCCACCCCCACCACCCAGGAAAGGCUCCUCAACCCCCAUACCUAGCCCUACAGGGAUGCAGAAGCCCUGAUUAUCCCUCACAGGCUCCUCCGCCUCCAUGUCGAACUGCACCAGCUCAAAGGGGGACAGCAUCUGGGGUAGAGGGUGGGGUGUCGACAUAGGUCCUGUGGGCUCAGCCUCAGUCGGGGCAGCUGCACACCAGGCACCCGCACACUCACUCGAAGAAGGCAGUUCAUCUUGCCCAGGGCCCCGCGGCGCCCCACAUAGUUGACUAAGCCCAUGUUGCCUUCUGUGGAGCCGUAGAUUUCCCAGAUCCGAAUGGGACCGAAGCGCUGCUGGAAGGCCUCCCACACAUCAGCCCGGAGUCCAUUGCCCAUCGCCAUGCGGACUGUAUGUGUCCGGUCCUCUGGUUGCUACAGGAAUGUCCCCAGAAGGCCCCACCCUGACACUUACUCCAGUGGUCCUUUGAUUGGAGAGAUCCUCAGAAGUGGGCUUACCGAGCUCUAAGCAGCCGAGGAUCCCAACGACAAGUCCCAUCACGUGGUACAGAGGCAGGACCAUGUAAACCACGUCAUCAGCUGUGGCCCCAAAUAAGGACAGCAUCUUGCUCAUCUGCAGUACCCUCUCAUGAGUGAGGAUGGCUGGCUUCGGGAGGCCUUGGGAUGAAGGCGUGGCAAGGGCAGAGUGGUGAAAUGACAGCACAGAGAGGGUCCUGACCAGAGGGAUAGAUCUCUAACAGCCAGGCCUGCAUUGGGGUUUGAGGCUCUCAGAGAGCAGGCAAGUAUAGGUAUCUGUGGUUGGGUUCACAGGCUGAAUUUGGACUGAGAGUAAUAUGUCAAGACCAAAGGUUUCAGUGGCUGUUUACUGGACACAGGAAGCAUUCUGGCAUUGACCUCUCAAAUUACAUUGGGGGUCAGAGUUCAGGCCAAAUGUCAAAAUCAAGGCUCUCACAGUGGCUCACACCUGUAAUUCCAUCAUUUUGGGAGGCUGAGGUGGACAGAUCACCUGAGGUCAGGGGUUAGAGACCAGCCUGGCCAACUUGG
Macaca mulatta (Rhesus monkey) is the source of this 1750-nucleotide long non-coding RNA. RefSeq lists it as uncharacterized. The record is from RefSeq and is a predicted model, not a curated record. NCBI's taxonomy places the organism in Eukaryota, Metazoa, Chordata, Mammalia, Primates, Cercopithecidae.